Molecule: ribosomal RNA, 590 nt
Filed under: Candidatus Brocadia sp. TKU-2
Lineage: Bacteria; Pseudomonadati; Planctomycetota; Candidatus Brocadiia; Candidatus Brocadiales; Candidatus Brocadiaceae
Also listed under: 1 other name
Description: bacterial SSU rRNA
Rfam family: Bacterial small subunit ribosomal RNA
Source: RNAcentral
UCUACGGGAGGCUGCAGUCGAGAAUCUUUCGCAAUGCCCGAAAGGGUGACGAAGCGACGCCGCGUGCGGGAGGAAGGCCUUCGGGUUGUAAACCGCUGUCGGGAGUUAAGAAAUGCAAGGAUGUUAAUAGCGUUCUUGCUUGACUAAGGCUCCGGAGGAAGCCACGGCUAACUCUGUGCCAGCAGCCGCGGUAAUACAGAGGCGGCAAGCGUUGUUCGGAAUUAUUGGGCGUAAAGAGCACGUAGGCGGCUGUGUAAGUCGGUUGUGAAAGCCUUCCGCUCAACGGAAGAACGGCAUCCGAUACUGCAUAGCUUGAGUGUGGGAGGGGAGAGUGGAACUUCUGGUGGAGCGGUGAAAUGCGUAGAUAUCAGAAGGAACACCGGCGGCGAAGGCGACUCUCUGGUCCAUAACUGACGCUGAGUGUGCGAAAGCUAGGGGAGCAAACGGGAUUAGAUACCCCGGUAGUCCUAGCCGUAAACGAUGGGCACUAAGUAGAGGGGUUUUGAUUAUCUCUCUGCCGGAGCUAACGCAUUAAGUGCCCCGCCUGGGGAGUACGGCCGCAAGGCUAAAACUCAAAAGAAUUGACGGGG